Molecule: non-coding RNA, 158 nt
Filed under: Mesorhizobium sp. Root157
Lineage: Bacteria; Pseudomonadati; Pseudomonadota; Alphaproteobacteria; Hyphomicrobiales; Phyllobacteriaceae
Description: Brucella sRNA CI27
Rfam family: Brucella sRNA CI27
Source: Rfam by way of RNAcentral
GAAGAACUCUAAGCAUGUCGCCCGAGAGUGGGAACCGAUUUCGGGAUAACGACAUGCAUAAAAACAAACACUUAGAGCGCGCCGGCGAAUCUGAAAGAUCGCGACGCGCUCUAAGCAUGCGUAAAGCGAGGCCUUUCAGGCGCAACGCGCUUUAAGUC